AGAGUUUGAUCCUGGCUCAGGAUGAACGCUAGCGGCAGGCUUAAUACAUGCAAGUCGAGGGGCAGCAUGAUUGUAGCAAUACAAUUGAUGGCGACCGUGCAAACGGGUGCGGAACACGUACACAACCUUCCAAUAAGUGGGGAAUAGCCCAGAGAAAUUUGGAUUAAUACCCCGUAACAUAGCGAUGUGGCAUCACAUUGCUAUUAUAGAUUUUUCGCUUAUUGAUGGGUGUGCGGCUGAUUAGAUAGUUGGCGGGGUAACGGCCCACCAAGUCUACGAUCAGUAGCUGAUGUGAGAGCAUGAUCAGCCACACGGGCACUGAGACACGGGCCCGACUCCUACGGGAGGCAGCAGUAAGGAAUAUUGGACAAUGGACGCAAGUCUGAUCCAGCCAUGCCGCGUGAAGGAUUAAGGUCCUCUGGAUUGUAAACUUCUUUUAUAAGGGACGAAAAAAGGCUUUUCUAAGUCGUCUGACGGUACCUUAUGAAUAAGCACCGGCUAACUCCGUGCCAGCAGCCGCGGUAAUACGGAGGGUGCAAGCGUUAUCCGGAUUCACUGGGUUUAAAGGUGCGUAAGCGGCAGUAAAUCACUGG
Molecule: ribosomal RNA, 593 nt
Filed under: uncultured bacterium
Lineage: Bacteria
Description: bacterial SSU rRNA
Rfam family: Bacterial small subunit ribosomal RNA
Source: RNAcentral